GAGUUUGAUCGUGGCUCAGGAUGAACGCUGGCGGCGUGCCUAAUACAUGCAAGUCGAACGAACAGAUAAGGAGCUUGCUCCUUUGACGUUAGCGGCGGACGGGUGAGUAACACGUGGGUAACCUACCUAUAAGACUGGGAAUAACUCCGGGAAACCGGGGCUAAUGCCGGAUAACAUGUUGAACCGCAUGGUUCUACAGUGAAAGACGGUCUUGCUGUCACUUAUAGAUGGACCCGCGCCGUAUUAGCUAGUUGGUGGGGUAACGGCCUACCAAGGCGACGAUACGUAGCCGACCUGAGAGGGUGAUCGGCCACACUGGAACUGAGACACGGUCCAGACUCCUACGGGAGGCAGCAGUAGGGAAUCUUCCGCAAUGGGCGAAAGCCUGACGGAGCAACGCCGCGUGAGUGAUGAAGGUCUUCGGAUCGUAAAGCUCUGUUGUUAGGGAAGAACAAAUGUGUAAGUAACUGUGCAUAUCUUGACGGUACCUAACCAGAAAGCCACGGCUAACUACGUGCCAGCCGCCGCGGUAAG
Molecule: ribosomal RNA, 534 nt
Filed under: uncultured microorganism
Description: bacterial SSU rRNA
Rfam family: Bacterial small subunit ribosomal RNA
Source: RNAcentral